UGAGUGCUCCCGUAGUCCCACUCACUUCCCAGUGUUUGAUCUUUUUUUUUGAUUUUGUAAAUGAAUAUAUUGAUCAAAAGAAUAGACCUCCGGACAUACCAAGAGGCAGACAAACAGAAGGCACAUGGCCUAAACUAGACAUUCAACCUAUGAAAUACAGAUCAAGAUCUAGGCCUCAAACAAGGCCAACAAAAACAAAUCCCACCACCGG
RNAcentral lists this long non-coding RNA (211 nucleotides) under Actinidia chinensis (golden kiwifruit). RNAcentral describes it as "long non-coding RNA (ACHI_LNC000273)". The record is from RNAcentral. Lineage: Eukaryota; Viridiplantae; Streptophyta; Magnoliopsida; Ericales; Actinidiaceae.